Molecule: non-coding RNA, 97 nt
Organism: Acanthosepion pharaonis
Lineage: Eukaryota; Metazoa; Mollusca; Cephalopoda; Sepiida; Sepiidae
Source: the annotation of a GenBank genome assembly
AUUGAAACACCAGUUCUUGUAAGAUCAGUGAAGUUAAGCAAUAUCAAGCUGGCUCAGUACCUAGAUGGGUGACCACAUGGAUAUACCAGGUGGUGUA